AAAUAGGGAGGCAAAACACAGCACUACACAAAGGGCAGUGAAACUGAAUUCUUGGAUGAGAGAAGUAAAACGCCCAAAGUCUUAAAGCAGUUUGGAGAUGGGUCCAGACUUGUAAGUCUUAUUACUGCAGAUGUUUUUCAUGUUUGUGAACCCAGCAGGAAGGUGUAGCUCUAGUGAAAGUCCUGUUUUCAGUGAUGUGUGAAGAUUCCCUGGAUACCACUUGGGAAUGGUCACAACAAUCCUUCAACGUGAAUCAUCUGAGAGACCCAGGGAUGGAACUCGGGGAGCAGCUGGGAGUGGAAAACCCACAUUCCUCCAAAGCAGGAGGCACAGCCUGAUCUUCACACAGCAGCUUUUGCCACCAAAGCCCUGCCACCAGUGCUGGCUGUGGCAAGAAGAACCCUGUGGUACCCUGGCACUCACGUGGCUCCCCUCUGGAAGAAGGAAAUGAAAUAUUCUGCAUGAGUUCCUUUCACUUCCAGCAGGGAUGGAAACUCCAAAGGGCUGCACCUGAGGAAGGACAAGCUUCCAUGCAAUGCUCCAGCCUGAACAGCAAAUUCCCGUGGCAGGAGCUGCCCAGACACCUCCCAGAGCUGAGCUGGGGCUCUGGGCACCUCUGUGAGCAGGUGAUGGAUAAGGGCAGUCCCAAACUGCACAGGGAAAAUGAGGAGGCUGCCCACAGGCUGCAGGAACCAGGUUUAACUUCAGGAAAUGUUCAGAGCACAGGAGCUGGUUUGUAUUUAAGAAAACCUACUCACUUCCCUUGGGCUGAGGAUGGAUGUCAGACUCUCCUAAUGAGAAGGACCUUACAGAUG
Cyanistes caeruleus (blue tit) is the source of this 815-nucleotide long non-coding RNA. RefSeq lists it as uncharacterized. The record is from RefSeq and is a predicted model, not a curated record. NCBI's taxonomy places the organism in Eukaryota, Metazoa, Chordata, Aves, Passeriformes, Paridae.